RNAcentral lists this transfer RNA (68 nucleotides) under Marmota monax (woodchuck). RNAcentral describes it as "tRNA.Ala". Lineage: Eukaryota; Metazoa; Chordata; Mammalia; Rodentia; Sciuridae. The record is from RNAcentral.
GGAUUGUGGCUCGGUGGUAAGAGUGCUCGCUUAGCAUGGCCAGGACCUGGGUUCGAUUCUCAGCACCA